GGGUUGUGAGGUUAAGCGACUAAGCGUACACGGUGGAUGCCCUGGCAGUCAGAGGCGAUGAAGGACGUGCUAAUCUGCGAUAAGCGUCGGUAAGGUGAUAUGAACCGUUAUAACCGGCGAUUUCCGAAUGGGGAAACCCAGUGUGUUUCGACACACUAUCAUUAACUGAAUCCAUAGGUUAAUGAGGCGAACCGGGGGAACUGAAACAUCUAAGUACCCCGAGGAAAAGAAAUCAACCGAGAUUCCCCCAGUAGCGGCGAGCGAACGGGGAGCAGCCCAGAGCCUGAAUCAGUGUGUGUGUUAGUGGAAGCGUCUGGAAAGGCGCGCGAUACAGGGUGACAGCCCCGUACACAAAAAUGCACAUGCUGUGAGCUCGAUGAGUAGGGCGGGACACGUGGUAUCCUGUCUGAAUAUGGGGGGACCAUCCUCCAAGGCUAAAUACUCCUGACUGACCGAUAGUGAACCAGUACCGUGAGGGAAAGGCGAAAAGAACCCCGGCGAGGGGAGUGAAAAAGAACCUGAAACCGUGUACGUACAAGCAGUGGGAGCACGCUUAGGCGUGUGACUGCGUACCUUUUGUAUAAUGGGUCAGCGACUUAUAUUCUGUAGCAAGGUUAACCGAAUAGGGGAGCCGAAGGGAAACCGAGUCUUAACUGGGCGUUAAGUUGCAGGGUAUAGACCCGAAACCCGGUGAUCUAGCCAUGGGCAGGUUGAAGGUUGGGUAACACUAACUGGAGGACCGAACCGACUAAUGUUGAAAAAUUAGCGGAUGACUUGUGGCUGGGGGUGAAAGGCCAAUCAAACCGGGAGAUAGCUGGUUCUCCCCGAAAGCUAUUUAGGUAGCGCCUCGUGAAUUCAUCUCCGGGGGUAGAGCACUGUUUCGGCAAGGGGGUCAUCCCGACUUACCAACCCGAUGCAAACUGCGAAUACCGGAGAAUGUUAUCACGGGAGACACACGGCGGGUGCUAACGUCCGUCGUGAAGAGGGAAACAACCCAGACCGCCAGCUAAGGUCCCAAAGUCAUGGUUAAGUGGGAAACGAUGUGGGAAGGCCCAGACAGCCAGGAUGUUGGCUUAGAAGCAGCCAUCAUUUAAAGAAAGCGUAAUAGCUCACUGGUCGAGUCGGCCUGCGCGGAAGAUGUAACGGGGCUAAACCAUGCACCGAAGCUGCGGCAGCGACGCUUAUGCGUUGUUGGGUAGGGGAGCGUUCUGUAAGCCUGCGAAGGUGUGCUGUGAGGCAUGCUGGAGGUAUCAGAAGUGCGAAUGCUGACAUAAGUAACGAUAAAGCGGGUGAAAAGCCCGCUCGCCGGAAGACCAAGGGUUCCUGUCCAACGUUAAUCGGGGCAGGGUGAGUCGACCCCUAAGGCGAGGCCGAAAGGCGUAGUCGAUGGGAAACAGGUUAAUAUUCCUGUACUUGGUGUUACUGCGAAGGGGGGACGGAGAAGGCUAUGUUGGCCGGGCGACGGUUGUCCCGGUUUAAGCGUGUAGGCUGGUUUUCCAGGCAAAUCCGGAAAAUCAAGGCUGAGGCGUGAUGACGAGGCACUACGGUGCUGAAGCAACAAAUGCCCUGCUUCCAGGAAAAGCCUCUAAGCAUCAGGUAACAUCAAAUCGUACCCCAAACCGACACAGGUGGUCAGGUAGAGAAUACCAAGGCGCUUGAGAGAACUCGGGUGAAGGAACUAGGCAAAAUGGUGCCGUAACUUCGGGAGAAGGCACGCUGAUAUGUAGGUGAAGUCCCUCGCGGAUGGAGCUGAAAUCAGUCGAAGAUACCAGCUGGCUGCAACUGUUUAUUAAAAACACAGCACUGUGCAAACACGAAAGUGGACGUAUACGGUGUGACGCCUGCCCGGUGCCGGAAGGUUAAUUGAUGGGGUUAGCGCAAGCGAAGCUCUUGAUCGAAGCCCCGGUAAACGGCGGCCGUAACUAUAACGGUCCUAAGGUAGCGAAAUUCCUUGUCGGGUAAGUUCCGACCUGCACGAAUGGCGUAAUGAUGGCCAGGCUGUCUCCACCCGAGACUCAGUGAAAUUGAACUCGCUGUGAAGAUGCAGUGUACCCGCGGCAAGACGGAAAGACCCCGUGAACCUUUACUAUAGCUUGACACUGAACAUUGAGCCUUGAUGUGUAGGAUAGGUGGGAGGCUUUGAAGUGUGGACGCCAGUCUGCAUGGAGCCGACCUUGAAAUACCACCCUUUAAUGUUUGAUGUUCUAACGUGGACCCGUAAUCCGGGUUGCGGACAGUGUCUGGUGGGUAGUUUGACUGGGGCGGUCUCCUCCUAAAGAGUAACGGAGGAGCACGAAGGUUGGCUAAUCCUGGUCGGACAUCAGGAGGUUAGUGCAAUGGCAUAAGCCAGCUUGACUGCGAGCGUGACGGCGCGAGCAGGUGCGAAAGCAGGUCAUAGUGAUCCGGUGGUUCUGAAUGGAAGGGCCAUCGCUCAACGGAUAAAAGGUACUCCGGGGAUAACAGGCUGAUACCGCCCAAGAGUUCAUAUCGACGGCGGUGUUUGGCACCUCGAUGUCGGCUCAUCACAUCCUGGGGCUGAAGUAGGUCCCAAGGGUAUGGCUGUUCGCCAUUUAAAGUGGUACGCGAGCUGGGUUUAGAACGUCGUGAGACAGUUCGGUCCCUAUCUGCCGUGGGCGCUGGAGAAUUGAGGGGGGCUGCUCCUAGUACGAGAGGACCGGAGUGGACGCAUCACUGGUGUUCGGGUUGUCAUGCCAAUGGCACUGCCCGGUAGCUAAAUGCGGAAGAGAUAAGUGCUGAAAGCAUCUAAGCACGAAACUUGCCCCGAGAUGAGUUCUCCCUGACUCCUUGAGAGUCCUGAAGGAACGUUGAAGACGACGACGUUGAUAGGCCGGGUGUGUAAGCGCAGCGAUGCGUUGAGCUAACCGGUACUAAUGAACCGUGAGGCUUAACCUUACAACGCCGAAG
Molecule: ribosomal RNA, 2925 nt
Filed under: Escherichia coli
Lineage: Bacteria; Pseudomonadati; Pseudomonadota; Gammaproteobacteria; Enterobacterales; Enterobacteriaceae
Description: 23S ribosomal RNA
Rfam family: Bacterial large subunit ribosomal RNA
Source: RNAcentral